RNAcentral lists this ribosomal RNA (902 nucleotides) under Discula campestris. RNAcentral's name for it is "LSU rRNA". It matches the Rfam family "Eukaryotic large subunit ribosomal RNA", at positions 35 to 964 of the family's 3401-position model. Lineage: Eukaryota; Fungi; Ascomycota; Sordariomycetes; Diaporthales; Gnomoniaceae. The record is from RNAcentral.
UAAGCAUAUCAAUAAGCGGAGGAAAAAGAAACCAACAGGGAUUGCCCUAGUAACGGCGAAGUGAAGCGGCAACAGCUCAAAUUUGAAAUCUGGCUUCGGCCCGAGUUGUAAUUUGCAGAGGAUGUUUAUGGUGCGGUACCUUCCGAGUUCCCUGGAACGGGACGCCACAGAGGGUGAGAGCCCCGUCUGGUUGGAUACCAAACCUGUGUUAAACUCCUUCAACGAGUCGAGUAGUUUGGGAAUGCUGCUCUAAAUGGGAGGUAAAUCUCUUCUAAAGCUAAAUACUGGCCAGAGACCGAUAGCGCACAAGUAGAGUGAUCGAAAGAUGAAAAGCACCUUGAAAAGGGGGUUAAACAGUACGUGAAAUUGUUGAAAGGGAAGCGUUUAUGACCAGACUUGUGUCGUGUGGCUCAUCCGAGGUUCUCCCCGGUGCACUCCACGCGGCUCAGGCCAACAUCGGUUCUUGUUGGAGGAUAAGAACAGUAGGAACGUAGCUCUCCUUCGGGGGAGUGUUAUAGCCUAUUGUACGAUACUCUGACGGGGACCGAGGACCGCGCUUCGGCUAGGAUGUUGGCGUAAUGGUCAUUAGCGACCCGUCUUGAAACACGGACCAAGGAGUCGUCCAUUAGAGCGAGCGUUUGGGUGUAAAACCCGCACGCGUAAUGAAAGUGAAAUUAGGUGAGAGCUUCGGCGCAUCAUCGACCGAUCCUGAAGUUUACGGAUGGAUUUGAGUAAGAGUUUUAACGGACGGACCCGAAAGACAGUGAACUAUGCUUGAAUAGGGUGAAGCCAGAGGAAACUCUGGUGGAGGCUCGCAGCGGUUCUGACGUGCAAAUCGAUCGUCAAAUUUGAGCAUGGGGGCGAAAGACUAAUCGAACUGUCUAGUAGCUGGUUACCGCCGA